Long non-coding RNA from Ictidomys tridecemlineatus (thirteen-lined ground squirrel), 321 nucleotides. Lineage: Eukaryota; Metazoa; Chordata; Mammalia; Rodentia; Sciuridae. The record is from Ensembl.
UCUGCUCAUGAAAACCAUCCCACCUGACCCUGCAGCUCUGCACAGGAGCCCAGCCCUGGACUCCCAGCUCAGCCCACUCAGUGACCAGGACUGAACACAGCUGCUCACCAUGGAGAGUGUGCUCAGCUGGGUUUUCCUGGUGGCUAUUUUCAAAGGUGUCCAGUGUGAGGUGCAGCUGGUGGAGGCCUGGUGCAGCCUGGGGGUUCCCUGCGACUCUCCUGUGCAGCCUCUGGAUUCACCUUCAGUGACUACUACAUGAACUGGGUCCGCCAGGUUCCAGGGAAGGGGCUGGAGUGGAUCUCACGCAUUAGUCAUACUAGU